RNAcentral lists this ribosomal RNA (280 nucleotides) under uncultured bacterium. RNAcentral describes it as "partial 16S ribosomal RNA". It matches the Rfam family "Bacterial small subunit ribosomal RNA", at positions 1223 to 1500 of the family's 1533-position model. The record is from RNAcentral.
UGUUACAAUGGGGGGUACAGAGGGCCGCUACCACGCGAGUGGAUGCCAAUCCCUAAAACCCCUCUCAGUUCGGACUGGAGUCUGCAACCCGACUCCACGAAGCUGGGUUCGCUAGUAAUCGCGCAUCAGCCACGGCGCGGUGAAUACGUUCCCGGGUCUUGUACACACCGCCCGUCACACCAUGGGAGUCGGAAAUGCCCGAAGCCGGUGACCCAACCCGAAAGGGAGGGAGCCGUCGAAGGCAGGUCGGAUGACUGGGGUGAAGUCGUAACAAGGUACC